GAAAUUAGUAAGGGCGACAGGUGGAUGCCUCGGCAGAGGGAGGCGAUGAAGGGCGUGUAAAGCUGCGAAAAGCCCGGGGGAGCCGCAAAAUGGCUGCGAUCCCGGGAUGCCCGAAUGGGGAAACCCGGCCCCCGUAAUAGGGGGUCAUCCCGCCUUCGGCGGGAGGCGACACCCGGGGAAGUGAAACAUCUCAGUACCCGGAGGAAAAGAAAGAGACAUCGAUUCCCUGAGUAGCGGCGAGCGAAAGGGGAGGAG
Molecule: ribosomal RNA, 255 nt
Filed under: Thermotogota bacterium
Lineage: Bacteria; Thermotogati; Thermotogota
Description: Thermotogae bacterium (hydrothermal vent metagenome) partial 23S ribosomal RNA
Rfam family: Bacterial large subunit ribosomal RNA
Source: RNAcentral